Molecule: unclassified non-coding RNA, 428 nt
Filed under: soil metagenome
Description: partial contains 5.8S ribosomal RNA, internal transcribed spacer 2, and large subunit ribosomal RNA
Rfam family: 5.8S ribosomal RNA (bases 1-120)
Source: RNAcentral
GAUGAAGAACGCAGCGAAACGCGAUACGUAAUGUGAAUUGCAGAAUUCAGUGAAUCAUCGAAUCUUUGAACGCACCUUGCGCCCCUCGGCAUUCCGAGGGGCAUGCCUGUUUGAGUGUCACGGAUCCUUCGAACCCCGCCGGUCUCCGACGAGCCGGCCGCCUGGGUUCGGUCCUGGGCGCUACGCCACCCCUCCGGGGCUGGCCCACCUCAAAAGCAUCAGCUGGGCCUCGCGGCGUGGGCGGGCUCCGAUCGGCGUGAUAAGUCAUCUGCCGAGAGGGUGCCCGUCCGUCCCGCGGAUCGAGGUCCGCUCCCAACCCCUCCCCGCGCGCCGUCCCCCCCCGGGGAGCGCGCGGGGACGUUUCGACGCUCUGGCCUCAAAUCAGGUAGGACCACCCGCUGAACUUAAGCAUAUCAAUAAGCGGAGGA